RNAcentral lists this long non-coding RNA (3375 nucleotides) under Lynx pardinus (Iberian lynx). The record is from RNAcentral. Lineage: Eukaryota; Metazoa; Chordata; Mammalia; Carnivora; Felidae.
UCUUUGGCUUGUCUUUCCCAGAAGAUGAGGAGCAGGUAUGAACCAGCACUCUCCCCCAAGACACAUGUCUCUCUAUUCAUGGGAGGAGUAGAGCAGACUCACAUUUGUCGUUGAUGACACAUGGCAUACGGAGUUGGCCCUUUAUGUAUAUUGCCUCUUUGAAUCCUUAGGUGAUUAACUCGUGGAAAUCAACAGCUCCAGGGCCAGCUACCAUUGGAGGGGACAGUCAGGCCUAGCUCUUAGAAACCUGGUGACACUUAGGAAGUUUGACUGCAAAGCCUCCCCUGCUCUCUGGCUCUCUGAGACCCACCUCAGCCCUGUGGGCCAAGCACCCAUGUAUCUCUCCUAUCAGGAGAAAAUAAAGUGUCUGGUGAAGUUAUUCACUCCAGGUGUUAGGAACUUAAUGCAUAAUACCUCCCAGGAGAAUGUGUAUUUCUCAGGACAGCCAGAGAGUGGGUGGUACUGAACCAAAAGAGUGAAUCACUAAUAGUGGAAUCCCAGGCAUUUGAGGAGGUCAUAUUUCUUGGGUGGGUUCCUUCCUGACAUUGUUUAUAUUAUAUAAAGUUGACAGCCACCUAUUGUCCCCCUAAAGGAGAUUGUCCCUAUGGGUGCGGUGAUGAUGAGGAAAGAGAAGAACAUUCAGGCUGGAGCCAGGGUGGUCUGAUUUUCAAAAACAAAUCUGUCCCUUAGAAUGAGAGGUGGCUUAAACACUCACACAGCCUCCCCAAGCGUGGUGAAGAGAUCCUGUCUCCCCUCUGUAACCAGGUUCUCUUCACCUGGAACGUGGUGCUGUCAUUAUGCAAUGUCCCUGUUGGCAGAGGUGUUUGGGCCCCUUGUUUUCAAGUCUGUGCCAUUUCCAAGAAGGAGCUGUGGCCUUUGAGUAGGACUGAGCUACUGAAUAGCAGCCCCAGUGCCAAGUGAAGGAGCCAAGAAGAGGCAGAGAAGAGAAAGUCACGACUGUCACACAAAGAUGAGACAGCCGCCCCCCAUGGUAGCUGGAUGGCAGUCCUGUUGUCCUGCAGCGGCCUUGGGGGCAGAAUGGGGUCAAAGUCGGGCUGCGGGCAGAAAGAAGCCAGGCCAGGCCAAGCAAGAGAGAAGGGCAAAGCCCCUGGGUGGUAGGAUGUGAGAAAAGUUACUUUCGUCAGGAGGGUAUCACUCUACAUUCAAAUCCAGCGCCCCAUGAAUUUAUAAAAGCCAGGCUCAAGGAAAAGUUUUUCCUAUUAGACUUAGUCACAUCAUCAAUAACAAUAAUCACUGUUACUAUUUCUUAAGUGUUUAAUCCAAAGCCAGUAUGGAAGUUAUCGAUUGAAGUCCUGACGAAGGUCUAAUCCGCUCACCCAGCAUGUAUUUAUUGAGUUUCUACUUAAGUCAGGCACUACCCUAGGCACUUAGGGCAGACCAAAGGCUAGGACAGACAAAACCCUGGUCCCGGCGGCAGGGCCACCACAUGCAAUUAACAACACAUCACUCUAGGGGGCACCGUAUGAUGCCUGGGCUACUUUGUGUAUUGAGCAGCCUGGCGGCCCCUGUCUGCGGUGCUCUCAUUCUAGCAGAUGUAAUCGAAUACCAACAAGGUGGGCGAAAUUCUCCUAUUACAGUUUGAGACACAGAGGGCUAAGUAACUUGCUGAGUUUUUCAGCCCCAAAGGACUGAGCCACAAUUUAUACCUAAAGACCUUGCAGUCCACCUGUGCCACGUAUGUGCCAUUCUCUCCCUGGUGGGUGUAGAGAUGAAGGUGUAGACAGGCUCAUAGAGGCAGAGCUGGGUUGGUUGGCCCAGUAGCAGUACUGUGUCCUGACUGGAUAGACUGGAACCAGCUCAGCGGUAACAGAGAAUCUCUUGGGGAAGGCUGACUUAACUAUAGGAAGGUUUGAUAACAUCAGCUGCCUUCAUAGUAAGGGUGGGGGGACUGGCCUUUUUAUUUUUAUCAGCUGGGGACUUAUGUGGAAAGGUCCAUCCCUGGGUAGACCUUGCUGUCUUGCAGGGCCAGAGGCAGCUAUUGAUUCUUGCACGUAUUUAUCGUUUAUGAAAUAUCCUAGUUAUAUUGGCAGAGAAGUUGGUCCAGGUUUGUAAGGGUAGGCUCCAAACUCCUCUGGUUGAGAAUGGAGUAGGACAGGUGCCCUUGGACAGGUUUCCUGAAUAAAGUGAGCAUGUGCAGCGAGAACGGAGAAGGUGCUCUCCUCUGAUGAGCUCAUUCUGCUAGGGUUGGAUCUAGUUUUCAGCGAACAGCAUGAGUCUUGCCUUUGGACCAGACUCUGUGCUACCCCAGUCAUGAAAGGAGGACAGCCACAUCUACGUUCUUCUGCCUUUUGUCCAAGCUUCUGUCUUGAAGGAAGAAAGAUGGCCUCUGGUUGUCGUCCCCUCCUCUUCUGCUGGGUAUCCCUUCUCCCACCUUCAGGUGCACCAGUGUGUGGCUUCUGAGCCAACCUUCUGAGACCUGAACUGGGCCGCCAGAGAUCUAAUGGCUGCUGCUUUGGCGUGGCAACCCUUGAGACUUGACACAGUUUUUCGUUAGCCCCCUGGAGAAAUGGAGAGGCUAAAGCAAUAGAGGACAGAAGGUUAUUUGGUGCCGGAGACUGGGAAAAGGGGAAAGGUAGAGGGAAGCUCGGUGUCCUAAAAACAAAUUUCACCCCCUCUCCGUUUUACCUAAGACGGGUGUUGCCUAGACAGCGUAAGUUCUGUAAAAGUGAUUUUCGUGAUGGUUUGGGCCAGGGGUGACAAACGUCUGGCACAUUUGCUGUCAUCUGUCUUCUCCCCACACCUUCUCCUGGCCACUGGGAUGGUAGUUUCAGACCCUUCUCAUUUUUUUUUUUAAUAUAUGAAAUGUAUUGUCUUCAGACCCUUCUCAAAUCAGCAUUCCAUGCAGGCUCCAUCCAUCAUAGUUGGCCUUUGAGAUGAAGUCCCCUCCUUGUGCCUGUUUAGAGGCCUUUUGCUGUGAGUUCUUUAUGGUAGCUUUUUCCUGAGGUAUCUUCUCUUAUUGUUGUGUCUUUCGCAGAACCUGGAAAGUCCGAACACAAUUUGGUGUUGACUCACAGAAUGUUCUCUGAAUCGAUGACCUUCGGUGUGUGCCAAAGCUGACUGAUUCACUGGUCUCUUCCCCCAACCAAGCUGGUUCUCUGGGCUCGGCAGGAGUCCUGACUGAGACCUCUCCUUACUCCAUAUUCUCUUUAUUACUAAUGAGGCGUGGUUCCUUAAUUACUAGGUGCUGGAUACCAGAAUUGAUUUCCUUUGUUUCAGUGAAUUUAGGAAAAGACUUAUGAAUAUUUCUUGCGCUUGACAUGAACUGCUUGAUUUUUUUUUUUUUUUUCCGGCCUGCAAAGGUCACUGAAGGGAGACAAGGCAAAGUGACGCCUAGAGCAUCAACAAGUAUGAAAU